GGGAGCGUAACUCAACUGGCAGAGUGCCUGUAUCAUAAGCAGGAAGUUGGAGGUUCGAGUCCUCCCGUUCUCA
RNAcentral lists this transfer RNA (73 nucleotides) under Abditibacteriaceae bacterium. RNAcentral's name for it is "Abitibacteriaceae bacterium (rhizosphere metagenome) tRNA-Met". It matches the Rfam family "tRNA". Rfam says of the family: Transfer RNA (tRNA) molecules are approximately 80 nucleotides in length. Their secondary structure includes four short double-helical elements and three loops (D, anti-codon, and T loops). Further hydrogen bonds mediate the characteristic L-shaped molecular structure. tRNAs have two regions of fundamental functional importance: the anti-codon, which is responsible for specific mRNA codon recognition, and the 3' end, to which the tRNAs corresponding amino acid is attached (by aminoacyl-tRNA synthetases). tRNAs cope with the degeneracy of the genetic code in two manners: having more than one tRNA (with a specific anti-codon) for a particular amino acid; and 'wobble' base-pairing, i.e. permitting non-standard base-pairing at the 3rd anti-codon position. The record is from RNAcentral. Lineage: Bacteria; Pseudomonadati; Abditibacteriota; Abditibacteriia; Abditibacteriales; Abditibacteriaceae.